UCUAUCCAACAAUGGUUUAUAAAAAAUUUUCUAUUGUUAAUUUUUCAAGUUUCUUGUCUUUAAAUGUUAUUUCUACAUCUAAUAUUGCUACUUUCUGACGCAUUCAAAUGGAUUAAUGGGUAACGCAUUUUAUUCGAGAGAUAAUAAAUUAUCAAAAAGGCAGCACAAAACAAAUUAGUACUGCGACCAGUUUGCAACCCUCGCUACCGCAUAUUGCAUACCGUGUACGCGCAAGCACGAGGAAUUACAUAGUUUUGGGAUAUAUAUUGUUGUUUAGUAUGGUUUAGAAUUUCCAUAGAUAACGGAGAAUUAUAACGGAGGCCGCUGUCGCGGGACCGAGAAAUCGUACGCCGUUCCGUAUAGGUAUGCGUACACUUGUAUAUGAAUACAUAGAAGACGCUUUCUUUCGAAUUAAUUCGCAAACCAAGAAAGAAAAAAUCGAUAUCUGAGUCCAUUAUUGUAACAAUCAUGUUAAUUCUUUGCCUUUAUUUGAAUUGAGAAUAGCUCGGGCUCCAAAUUGGGCAAAGAAUCUUAUUUAAAUUUUGAAAAAUCAAGGAAGGAAUCUUUUACAUACGUAAAACUUCCGAUAGACAGAAAUCGUAGAAUGAAAAAUUCCAUAAGUAUGAAUAUGAUGUGAAAUAUAAUUCGCAUUUAAUUUAUCAACGCAGAUUAUCAGUCAUUAAUCACUGUUCUUAUAAAUAGCAGAAGAUAGUGCACGUCGCCUAAGUAAGUAGCAUAAAUUGCGGCGGAAGUACAGCGGAUCUGAUAAGCUUGCGCUAAAUUGCGCGAGGGCCGCAUGACCUCCUCAUCUUCCCGCUGGCUCCCUAGCUCCCCCACCCCCCUAAGCCGCAACUAAUAACUCGGCUUUUUCUUUAACGACGAACUACAAACUAAUCUACGGCACACGCGCGCUGUCGCUCGGCGGAUAUACUAUUGGCGACUCGAGGCCGCCGUCCGUGCUCUUUCCUCCUCCGCCGUGCGUUUCCGCGGGCCUCUCUCGCGGCUACGACACGAGCGGGCGGGAGUCGCGGCGACGGAAAAAUGGCGCGGCAUCGGCGGUCGACCUGGACCGAGUAACCCACAUUCUUUCGGCCGAGCCGCGGACCACACUUGAUCGUCCCGUGUGUACCCGUGAGAGAAGGUUAGGUUUAAGCAACUCGGUGGAAGUUGCGGGCAGGGUCGGUUGGCCCGAGGGCGGCGGCAACUAUUAUAAACUGUAGCACCUCGAACUACCGCCUCCAGCCUUCCUUCUCUAACACCGGACGGACCGCCACCCUUCUUCGCCCGGUCCUCCCUCGCCACCGCCCUUUACCUUGCUUCCACCUCGAAUCCAACACCGUUCCCCACACCCACCGCCGGCUUCACCGCCGCCGCCGCCACCGCCGCCGCCGCCGUCGCCGUCGCUCUGCGCCAACCACCCCCUCGCCCCCGACUCCAAAUAACCCAGGAAACCCCCUGCCGAACUAACCCGCGCCCCGGAACUCUCUCCAGGUUUCUCUCCUACGCCGUACCCUCUAAUCAAUCAACCCCCAGGCAUCUCGGCCGGUCUGCACCGGGGAUCGCGGCUUUCCAGUCUUCACAGGAACGUCUCUCUAUCUCGAAAGACGAAAGCGUCGGCUGGACCCGUGGGUAACCCUGUUGCUGCACAGUCCGCUGCAAACGGCUGUGCGCGCACAUACGGCCACGAACACGGACGCGCGUAGGCAUGCAUUCAUCGCGCGACGUGGAAUCUCCAACUCUGCGGCGAGCAAGAUCGAAAGGUUUCGGGCGAACAUCCGAUCGACCUACUUGCCGGACGUUCCUGAUUAGCGUCUUGUCUAUUGAUUAAUGCUCGUUGAUUAAUGCGAACCCGUCGCCGGGAAGCUCUCAAAGGCUUCUAUGUUUAAUCUCUGUCCAGUAAGGUAUAAAUUAUUUACACUCCAGCGACCAAACUGGUCAGUUUGACCGCUAAAUACUUGUUUCCCGCAUUAGCCACAAGGCAUGUAUUUUUAUCAAUUUUUAAUUAGCGUUAGUAAUGAAAAGCGUAAGAGGAGGUACUCCUUCAUAUUUCGCUACGAGUUUUAAAAAUUCAGUUUUCCUUAUUUAGUCUGAAAACAAGAACACAUCGACAGAGGAGAUAAAAUCUAUUUCUCGAACUUCUGUUUAAUAAUAACUCGAAGCCUGUUCAUUCAUUCGAGCAAUUUAUUCUCGUCCACCAGAUAUCAAUUUCGAAAGAUCUAUAAUCUUCAUCCGUAGCUUUGACUGAACGGUAAGGAACCAAGAAAGCACUUUGGCAUUCAGCCAUUUGACCAAAGACAAACGUGAUUCUUUAGGGCGACGGCGGCUGUGCCAGGUACAAUGCAGUUAAUGGGUAAUUAUCGCGGUACAAUUUUGCCCGGCAGCCAUUCCCGUUCAUUUCCUCGAUAUCUUCGGACAAGCCGCUACCGCCGCCGCCACGUUUCGCUGUCUCUCCAUCGUAUUUGGUCCCGACCGUGCAUCGCGUUCCAAUAUCUGCCGUUUUCUCCCAUCGAUUUAGCCGUACAGGCCUCAGCGUAACUGUACGCGAAAGGGAGGAAAUGGAGUAAUUAUAAGGAAAUAACGGGCGUUGUCCGUGUGGUGGGUAUUGAGACCUUGGGGGGAGGGAGACCUUUUGCUUCCCUUCGAUAAACCGCGAUUCCCGAAUAUGAGAAUUCCAAUACCGUGCGAGAUUAUCGAUCAUAAUGUAGCAUUAUAUCGUAAUUUCUAUCACUUAUUUACUGCGUUUUGAUUUGAUUUUAUCGCUGUAAAUACGCAUUUUAUGAGUUAACCACGCGUUCUCCAUUUGAAUAUCUUAUUGACAAAAAAAAAAAAGCGAAGGAAGAUAGAUGAAAUGGUGCGGAAGACGAAGGCAAAAAAUACGUACGAGUAAAUCUCGAUAAAGUAAUGUAGAACAAAUCGUGUGCAUCUCAAUUAAUUCCUCUGGACGAAAACAUCGGGGAACGAAGCCACGCCGCACGUUGAUCGCACUUUCUAAUUACAGGGGCCAAACCGCGGACAUUUAUUUAACAACUCGACGCUCCGCCGUGAAGUCGACGCGACGUCUCUCGCAGAGAGACGUUAAUUCGUUAACGUUUAAUUGCGCAACUUGGCCAUUCCCCGCCCGCCUCCUUCCACCCCCUCCCAUCCCUGAUCCAACACUCACACGCUGCGUGAACGGCGCGUUUGCACGCGUGUACUUGCGUGGAAUUAACCGACGGGCCAAUACCUCUCGUAGUGGUCCUGGGGAUACGCGAUGCAAUUAAUAUAAUUACUUUCGAUUAUACACGGAAGGUAGGAGAGCAAGAGCGGGGUGAGAAAGGGAAAGAGGGACCGUCUCUCUAUCCUCGUUUUCCAGGCUACCGCGUCGGCUCGCACGAGAUUACGUGCUCCGCGCACGGACACGAUGUAUACGUGCACUUCCGUAUACACAACACGCAAACAUUCCAACUUCAUUUCAUCGACUUGAUCUUUUGACUACUUUGCUGCGUCAACGAGAAUAUAAAGAAUAUUGCCGGUAGAAAAGCUACACGGCACAGAUGUAUUUCGAUGAAAAAUUCAUUAAAGAAUGUUACUUGCGUUUACAUCUUUCAUGAAGCUCUAAUAUUGGAGUUUAUUUUUUUAAUAAAAACCUUCUCAGUGCCUUACCCGUACAUAUUAAUGUUAUUAUAUGUACAAUGUUAUAUAAUGUAUAAUGUUAAUAUAUGUUUCUUUCAUGCUUCGAAUAAACUUAGCAACUUUACGACAAAGUGUCAUAUUUUAAUUAUCACUUUUUUUAACGUAUAUCAUAUCGGGAAAAGUAAUAAUUAAAAUGAAUUUAAGUGCAAACUUGGAGUUCGUGCAUAAAGCGCGCCUCAUCGCUAUUUUCUAUCUAAGAUUGCUUUUGCGAUGCAAAAUACAUAUUGACCUUUACUCGAGAUCUGCUGUACGACCUUUGUCAUUUCUUUACGUGAAUAUGAAUAACUCAAGGUAAGCCUUAAGGUUCGCCCUUUGUGCUAAGUUUAUUUCUACCGCAAACUUACUUAAUGCGAGACUAAUCAUACUCGGUAUUUAACUGUUCAAAUUCUGAUGUAUAUUUCACAGCGGAAACGAAUUUAAUCGUUUUACUCUGCAGCCCAGUUUGCGCUAUCAAUAUUCAAUUGGCACACGUGGCUACAAAGAAUUAUCGCGCAAAUGGUGCACCUGAAAUAUGUAUAACCAGGCGAGAGAUGCCCUUCGCGUUCAACCAAAAGUGAAUCCUGCUCCGUGCAUACACGCUCGCGCGGGAACAACCACACUCGUGAGUUUACCAGAACGAAACUACACGCGUGGUCUAGAUGUAUGCAAUUUUGACUAGAUUAACGCUGCAUUAUUCAGCUAAUUAACUGCUAGGAACCGGGCCCGGCCCGCUGUUUUCGGUAUCCCCCCAUGGAAACAACGUCGUUUGUCUUGCACCUCUACUCUCGGAGAUAUUCGCUCGGCACCGUCGCAAAUAUAAGCUCUUUACAUUAUUGGUCUUUCAAAUUUGCCUGUUGCGAUUACUGAACGUACUUCCGCGUUGAAGAACGACACAUGAUCGCUGGUUCCCGUUUUUAAGAUUGAAAGUACAUUUAAGAAUUUGCGGGUAACUUCAAUAAUAACUGCAUCUAACAUAUGAAUGACUUUUGUCUGCGAUAAAUGAAAUAUUCUGAAAUUGAAAGAAGUUUACAGACGCGUGAGGAAGCUGACUGAGGAAACCUAUAUUCAACCUGCCUUUCGUAUUGAUUUGAAGAGCAGCGGAGCACGAACGAGCUAUUCCGAGUUUGGCAAUCAUGUUCAACGUUGCGACCGCCAUCUUCUUCGGGAACACUACGCGAUAUUGCAGUGACGUUCGGCGUUCCUCUCAAGCGCGAGCUCUCUAAACUUUGGUCGAAUCGAGGAGAUGGCAAAGGAGGAUAAGAGGAGGGAGACGCGAGGAAAAGGGGGAGGGGCGCGGCCGCAGAGAAACGGGAAAGGCGAUGCUGGAAAUGGGAGAAUGGCUGAAUAUUCCUCGAGGACGAGCACUCCGUCCGUUGAGCGGCAACGGCCGAGUCUAGGCGUAGCCGAUCCAGAAACCAGAAACCAGAAACCAGGCACAACGACUGGAGAACAGAGGAGGCCCGGAUAAUAGCGACGGGAGGAACCGGAAAGCAUAAACCCACGCAAAAGUGGAGGCCACUUCAAGCGUUUUCUGCGGCGGUCGCCGCGACCCUUCCGAAAAUUAUCCAGAACGACCUCGUAGUCGCCGCGGCCUUACCACCGAAGAAAUAACCACCGACUCGAGCGGGAAAAAAAUGUUUUCGCAACAAUGAGAUAUGGAUGCCGCAAAAAUAUACUUUCCCUGGUAAAUCGUGAAAAUGGGCUUGCAAGAAUUGUCUUUUUACGAAAGAAAACAAACGUACAUCUUUUGAUAACAUUUAUCAGUGGAAUUAAAUAGCAGCGCAUCAUGAUGCAUAAAAAAUCAUUCGAGGUUUAGAGAGAAAUAAAUAAAAUAAUUAAUUGGGUUCAAAAA
Molecule: RNA transcript, 5503 nt
Organism: Monomorium pharaonis (pharaoh ant)
Lineage: Eukaryota; Metazoa; Arthropoda; Insecta; Hymenoptera; Formicidae
Exons: 2
Source: RefSeq, a predicted model, not a curated record